ACCACCUUGUUUGAAAUGGAAACGCUGCCUCCACUGCCACGAGAGAGAGAGCAGCAGUCUCACCAAAGGAGGUGGGGAGAGACGGAGAGGAACACAAAGAGUGUGUGGAGCAACAGUCACUCGCAGGCAGCCUUGGACGCAUACAAACUAAAGUAAGGCGCAGUCUGAUGGCACAGCAGAAAAUUUCUCUACGUACACUAAAAGAAGAGAACAAGCCUGAGAAGCGCACUGAAGGAAGAGCGGAAGGUUUUGUUUUUGUGUGUCAUCUCACUUUGCCUCUACUCCACGUGCAGACCCAUCAUCUGCGUCUGAGGAACUAUCCCUCCUAACCCUAAUCUCGGUUUUCGACCUGAUUGGUGAUCUGGAUGAUUCACUGCACUCACACACUCUGCAGUUGGCGUGGGCUCGGCUGAGUGUGUGAAAACAACGAGAGCUCUCACAGGAUGGAUGCCGGAGAACAGACGCUGACCCUUCUGAACAGGCUUUGGGCAAAGUUGCAGAGUCUGCCCAGUGCCAACAGCAUAGAGCUGGGGGCUUUCUUCGUCCAGCUAACCUUCAUCUUGGUGGUCCUGCUCAUGACGGUGCUGACCUGCUUGACCUGCUGCUGCUGCCGCUGCUGCCGCCGCAAGACCAAGACGGGGGGAGCGGACAUCUGAGCAACUGUGCUCCACACAAGGAUAAUCAUGUACACGGACAAUUUCUGGAUAUUUAACUCCCAUAUCGGGCAUCUCGGCACAAAUAAAACACAAAGCCAGGGUUUCUCUGAAGCUCUCUCUGCCCUGAAUGCAGGGUGUGUUCGUUCGGUGGCACUGGAGAGGCCCAACCCUUGAACAAUAAAGCACCUGUCAAACACAGAGAUGUGCGUCUUGACCGGCUGUCAGACACACCCGGCGAGGCUGCCAGGUUUUCAGGAGAAUCCAGAUUCCUUGGAGCAUCCCUUCAAUCCACAGGGUGGAAAACAACAACAACAACUCCCCUGAUCAGAGGAAAAGCCUGAACCAACAUCAACUGCAACUUUAACAAUGCAGGCAAAUUACGUGGAAUAUGAAUGGUAAAAUGUGUAGAAUCAUAUUUUUCUUAAACUGCAGCAAAUCAACAAUAGCAAGUUAUGCAGCAAUAUGACGGGGAUGAUAAAAUGCUUUGACUAUAAGCCACUGUUAAGGAAUGAGAAAUGUCAGUCAGACCACAUUCAGAGGUGGUCUGGGUUACAGCAGAGUAAGGUAAGAUUCUCCUGAGGGGGAAGCUGUUUCAGACUUGAACGUGUUUCUCGAACAUAUUGUACAAAGCAUAAAGAGAGAUCAAGUCUGCCCCCUGCUGUACGCAAACUGACAUAGCAUGUAUGUAAUGAAAGAUGUGUUUAACUUGUGUGUGUGUGUGUGUGUGUGUGU
Molecule: long non-coding RNA, 1388 nt
Organism: Scophthalmus maximus (turbot)
Lineage: Eukaryota; Metazoa; Chordata; Actinopteri; Pleuronectiformes; Scophthalmidae
Exons: 4
Source: RefSeq, a predicted model, not a curated record